Molecule: non-coding RNA, 46 nt
Organism: Danio rerio (zebrafish)
Lineage: Eukaryota; Metazoa; Chordata; Actinopteri; Cypriniformes; Danionidae
Source: Rfam
GUAAUGGUUUUAUUUGAAACUACAAACAAUAACAAAGCAGUUAUUU